GCCAGCAGCCAUAUCACCCUGCAACUGGCAGCCCACUGAAGCUCAGCAGGGGUGAGCCUGGUCAGUAUCUGCAUGGGAGACCUCGUGGGAAAACUAAGGUUGUGACUAGAA
RNAcentral lists this ribosomal RNA (111 nucleotides) under Lepisosteus oculatus (spotted gar). The record is from RNAcentral. Lineage: Eukaryota; Metazoa; Chordata; Actinopteri; Semionotiformes; Lepisosteidae.